Molecule: ribosomal RNA, 575 nt
Filed under: Rhinoscapha sp. 5 MVD-2017
Lineage: Eukaryota; Metazoa; Arthropoda; Insecta; Coleoptera; Curculionidae
Description: SSU rRNA
Rfam family: Eukaryotic small subunit ribosomal RNA
Source: RNAcentral
CUGCCAGUAGUCAUAUGCUUGUCUCAAAGAUUAAGCCAUGCAUGUCUCAGUACAAGCCAAAUUAAGGUGAAACCGCGAAAGGCUCAUUAAAUCAGUUAUGGUUCCUUAGAUCGUACCCACAAUUACUUGGAUAACUGUGGUAAUUCUAGAGCUAAUACAUGCAAACAGAGCUCCGACCGGAGACGGAAGGAGUGCUUUUAUUAGAUCAAAACCAAUCGGUGGCGAGUUCGCUCGUCAUCGUACAACUUGGUGACUCUGAAUAACUUUACGCUGAUCGCACGGUCUCGCACCGGCGACGCAUCUUUCAAAUGUCUGCCUUAUCAACUGUCGAUGGUAGGUUCUGCGCCUACCAUGGUUGUAACGGGUAACGGGGAAUCAGGGUUCGAUUCCGGAGAGGGAGCCUGAGAAACGGCUACCACAUCCAAGGAAGGCAGCAGGCGCGCAAAUUACCCACUCCCGGCACGGGGAGGUAGUGACGAAAAAUAACGAUACGGGACUCAUCCGAGGCCCCGUAAUCGGAAUGAGUACACUCUAAACCCUUUAACGAGGAUCAAUUGGAGGGCAAGUCUGGUGCC